Molecule: ribosomal RNA, 255 nt
Filed under: uncultured bacterium
Lineage: Bacteria
Description: partial 16S ribosomal RNA
Rfam family: Bacterial small subunit ribosomal RNA
Source: RNAcentral
UACAGAGGUCCCAAGCGUUGUUCGGAUUCACUGGGCGUAAAGGGUGCGCAGGUGGUUUGGCAAGUUUGACGUGAAAGCCCCGGGCUUAACCCGGGAAUGGCGUUGAAAACUGCUUGAACUGGAGGGUUGGAGGGGGGGACUGGAAUUCUUGGUGUAGCAGUGAAAUGCGUAGAUAUCAAGAGGAACACCAGUGGCGAAGGCGAGUCCCUGGACAAUACCUGACACUGAGGCACGAAAGCCAAGGGAGCAAACAGG